GGGGUUGCAGCUUAGUGGUUUGAGCGUCGGUCUCACGACUUGAAGGUCGGGGGUUCGAUUCCCGAUCCCA
This is a non-coding RNA of Macrostomum lignano, 70 nucleotides long. Lineage: Eukaryota; Metazoa; Platyhelminthes; Macrostomidae. The record is from Rfam.